Molecule: ribosomal RNA, 486 nt
Filed under: Clavispora lusitaniae
Lineage: Eukaryota; Fungi; Ascomycota; Pichiomycetes; Serinales; Metschnikowiaceae
Description: eukaryotic LSU rRNA
Rfam family: Eukaryotic large subunit ribosomal RNA
Source: RNAcentral
UGCCCCAGUAACGGCGAGUGAAGCGGCAAAAGCUCAAAUUUGAAAUCCUGCGGGAAUUGUAAUUUGAAGGUUUCGUGGUCUGAGUCGGCCGCGCCCAAGUCCAUUGGAACAUGGCGCCUGGGAGGGUGAGAGCCCCGUAUGGCGCACSCCGACUCUUUGCACCGCGGCUCCGACGAGUCGAGUUGUUUGGGAAUGCAGCUCUAAGUGGGUGGUAAAUUCCAUCUAAAGCUAAAUAUUGGCGAGAGACCGAUAGCGAACAAGUACAGUGAUGGAAAGAUGAAAAGCACUUUGAAAAGAGAGUGAAACAGCACGUGAAAUUGUUGAAAGGGAAGGGCUUGCAAGCAGACACGGUUUUACCGGGCCAGCGUCGAAAAGGGGGGAGGAACAAGAACUCGAGAAUGUGGCGCGCACCUUCGGGCGCGCGUGUUAUAGCUCGUGUUGACGCCUCCAUCCCUUUUCGAGGCCUGCGAUUCUAGGACGCUGGCG